UACGGAGGGUGCGAGCGUUGUCCGGAAUCAUUGGGCGUAAAGGGCGCGUAGGUGGCCCGGUCAGUCUUUGGUGAAAGCGCGGGGCUCAACCCUGCGUCGGCCAGGGAUACUGCCGCGGCUCGAGCACUGUAGAGGCAGGCGGAAUUCCGGGUGUAGCGGUGAAAUGCGCAGAUAUCAGGAGGAACACCGGUGGCGAAGGCGGGUCUCUGGGCCGAUACUGACGCUGAGGAGCGAAAGCGUGGGGAGCGAACAGG
This 254-nucleotide ribosomal RNA is filed under the name uncultured bacterium. RNAcentral describes it as "partial 16S ribosomal RNA". It matches the Rfam family "Bacterial small subunit ribosomal RNA", at positions 524 to 776 of the family's 1533-position model. The record is from RNAcentral.